Molecule: long non-coding RNA, 1003 nt
Organism: Coffea arabica (coffee)
Lineage: Eukaryota; Viridiplantae; Streptophyta; Magnoliopsida; Gentianales; Rubiaceae
Source: RefSeq, a predicted model, not a curated record
GAAAGCAGAGAAGGAAAUAAAAACCAGAGGGGAAAUGAUCAAAAAGUGUAGAUUAGGGGAAGAAUUCGAAAAAAAAGACCGUUUUUCCUCUGGCAAAAUUGAAGAAUGAAAAAUUCAAAAUAAUGACCGUUGUUUUUUUCCUCUGGAGAAAUGUCCAAUUCUUGAAGUCUGGCAGUCUUGUUCUCUCUAUAUAUAUACUGUAUAUAUUUCAAUUAUUCAAUCACGAUUCACAGACAAAGAACACGCACUUUCACACACAGUAGGUCUUCCAUUUUAUUUUGUUUUCCGAAAAUUUUAAUUCAAUUUGGGCCCAUUUUGAAUGCUUUUUUAAAAAAAAAAAUCAUGAUUUUUUCUGGUCUUCUUCAUUUUCUGAAUUCUUAUUCUUUGAUUUAAUUAAUUCAAAACUGUGUGUUAGUGUGUGUUUGGUGUCUGAGAGAAAGGGAGGAAAGAGCAGAGAAAAUAAAUUUGAGGGGUUUUGAUGAAGAUUCUGGCCUUCUGCUAUACAUGGAAACCAGGCUUCUGAAAAAGAUUGUGGCUUUUUCUCUAACCAAAAAAUUCAGGCACAACUACGAUUCUGAGCUACCAGUGCAAACCCCGGCAACGGCUGGAGUAGCCAAUGGAGGAGAGAAUCAGGAAUUGGAGAGAGAACCAUCUCUACAAUUUGAUUUGAGGCCACUUUAUGACGUUAAUUAGUAUUUCUGUGUACCAAAAAGACUGAAGUUUCUUUGACCUACAUUGGAUUUUUUUCCCUUUUGUGUAUUGUUUUGUGAACUGAAAAUUGUGCAAGUGUUGGUCAAAGAUACCCUAUAAUCUUUGAUUUUGCCUUGUAUUUAAUGCUUGUCUUGCCAGUUAUAUCAUUUGCUAACUUAAGCGAUGGAAAUUUCCUGGACUUUGAAUGGAUAUUUUGGUAUAAACUUGGCUGGAAAUGUUGGAUAUGCACUUGUCUGUGUAUUAUGAGCUUGUUUGUGUGUGAUUUAUGAUUGAAAGUGAGUAAACACUUGCU